UCUCUAGUGGCUCAGAUGGUAAAAGCAUCUGCCUGCAAUGUGGGAGGCCUGGGUUCAAUCCCUGGCCUGUGAA
RNAcentral lists this transfer RNA (73 nucleotides) under Bos taurus (domestic cattle). It matches the Rfam family "tRNA". Rfam says of the family: Transfer RNA (tRNA) molecules are approximately 80 nucleotides in length. Their secondary structure includes four short double-helical elements and three loops (D, anti-codon, and T loops). Lineage: Eukaryota; Metazoa; Chordata; Mammalia; Artiodactyla; Bovidae. The record is from Rfam by way of RNAcentral. RNAcentral also lists the same sequence under 2 other names.